RNAcentral lists this ribosomal RNA (449 nucleotides) under uncultured bacterium. RNAcentral describes it as "bacterial SSU rRNA". It matches the Rfam family "Bacterial small subunit ribosomal RNA", at positions 340 to 786 of the family's 1533-position model. The record is from RNAcentral.
UACGGAAGGCAGCAGUAGGGAAUAUUGGGCAAUGGGCGAGAGCCUGACCCAGCCAUGCCGCGUGCAGGAAGAAGGCUUUCUGAGUCGUAAACUGCUUUUGACAGGGAAGAAUAAGGCUUACGUGUAAGCUGAUGACGGUACCUGCAGAAUAAGCACCGGCUAACUCCGUGCCAGCAGCCGCGGUAAUACGGAGGGUGCGAGCGUUAAUCGGAAUUACUGGGCGUAAAGGGCACGCAGGCGGUUAAUUAAGUUGGAUGUGAAAUCCCCGGGCUUAACCUGGGAAUGGCAUUCAAGACUGGUUAGCUAGAGUCUUGUAGAGGGGGUAGAAUUCCAUGUGUAGCGGUGAAAUGCGUAGAGAUGUGGAGGAAUACCGGUGGCGAAGGCGGCCCCUGGGACAAAGGACUGACGCUCAUGUGCGAAAGCGUGGGGAGCAAACAGGAUUAGAUACC